AGGAUGAACGCUGGCGGCGUGCCUAAUACAUGCAAGUCGAGCGGCAGCACGGUCUUCGGACUGGUGGCGAGCGGCGGACGGCUGAGUAACGCGUAGGAAUAUACCCCAAAGUGAGGGAUAACUGCCCGAAAGGGUGGCUAAUACCGCAUGUGGUCUUCGGACUAAAGCCUUCGGGCGCUUUGGGAAUAGCCUGCGUAAGAUUAGCUAGUUGGUGAGGUAAUGGCUCACCAAGGCGACGAUCUUUAGCUGGUCUGAGAGGAUGACCAGCCAGACUGGAACUGAGACACGGUCCAGACUCCUACGGGAGGCAGCAGUAGGGAAUUUUCCACAAUGGGCGAAAGCCUGAUGGAGCAACGCCGCGUGCAGGAUGAAGGCCCUCGGGUCGUAAACUGCUUUUAUGUGCGAAGAAUAUGACGGUAACACAUGAAUAAGGGUCGGCUAACUACGUG
This 449-nucleotide ribosomal RNA is filed under the name uncultured bacterium. RNAcentral's name for it is "bacterial SSU rRNA". It matches the Rfam family "Bacterial small subunit ribosomal RNA", at positions 26 to 507 of the family's 1533-position model. The record is from RNAcentral.